This is a long non-coding RNA of Macaca mulatta (Rhesus monkey), 447 nucleotides long. RefSeq lists it as uncharacterized. The record is from RefSeq and is a predicted model, not a curated record. Lineage: Eukaryota; Metazoa; Chordata; Mammalia; Primates; Cercopithecidae.
ACAGGAUUUCGCCAUGUUGCCAGCUGGUCUCCAACUCCUGAGGUCUUUGUGCAGUUGGAAUCUAAUUGGAUCAGACAAUGCUCAAGGUUCCCUCCAGCUCCCUAGUACCACAGCUAAUUAGCAGAAAUUCUACUUUAAUAAUACAGUUGCUGCAGGUCAAGAAAGAAAAGCAAAGCAGAAAUGGAAAUCUCAGCUUAGAGAACAUUGAAAAAAGAUUAGAAACUUAUCUCCCCCAACAUCACCUACAAUUCUGAGGGGGGAGAAACAGAAUAUCUUCUUCCAAGAAUUCUUAUGUAUUGCCAAGAUAAGCAACAAUCUCAAGUCUGUGGAGACGUAAUAAUCAUCAAGAGUAUCUGCCUGGAAACCCUGUUGCCUGGAGACCACUUUUACUUUUUUUUUUUUUUUUUUUUGAGACGGAGUCUCGCUCUGUCGCCCAGGCUGGAGUGC